Molecule: long non-coding RNA, 1194 nt
Organism: Prosopis cineraria
Lineage: Eukaryota; Viridiplantae; Streptophyta; Magnoliopsida; Fabales; Fabaceae
Exons: 2
Source: RefSeq, a predicted model, not a curated record
UAGACAAAUAAAUAUCUAAAUAAAAUCUGAACAAUAUUAUUAAAUAAAAAAUAUCUAAAAUAAGUUAAAAAUAAUAUUUAUCUAGCUUCCCAAAUCACCCAUUAUCCCACAUUAAUCAGUACUCCGUCACAAUCAUCUGGUUAUUUCUAAUUUUAUAGAAGUUGUUUGACUGUUUCCCCUUCAUGCUUUCGUCUCGCAUGGCAUGGAAUUUUAGUCAACAAGGGCAUCGUUGUAUUUUUAGGAGGCUGUGAAACUGCUGUAAGGACCUUGUGUAGUACUGAAAGAGGUAAGCAUAUGGUAUUGAAAACUGCAUAAUGAACCGGGUAAAUUUUGAUAAAUUUAAGAUAUGGGUACAGCGAGGUAUAUUCCAUAACAAUACCUUUUUUUUUUUUUAAUAAUUUUAGAAAACUAAUGCAUUUUCUUACCAAAAGGCACUUUGAUAUGGACCUGAUAAGGGUAUACCUACAGCAAGCGAUAUGCUGGCAGGCUGGGAUGUUUCAUAAUGUCUCCUGUGGCUGUCAUAUUGAAAAUUUGAUGCCAGACAGUUGUUUUCUAGUCUUAUUAGUAUCAUUUUCAAUUGAAUUUAUAGGAGCAUUAUUGGUGGCUCUAAAGCUGAUGUAAUUUUUUUCCCUGUUCUCUCCAUUUCGUUUCCAGAUACAGGAGAACAUUAAUCUAUUCUGCCAAACAAGAAAUAACAUUCUUAAAAUUAUGAACGACUUGAAUGACUUGCCAGAGGUGAUGAAGCAAAUGCCACCUCUACCCAUAAAGGUGAAUGAAGAGUUAGCCAACUCCAUUCUUCCAAGAACAAACCUCCCGACGCAAUCAUGAUGCGCAACGUUCAUUCAUCUCGUUCCGGCUUGUCUUUCCAUAUUUUCUGCCUCCAGGGGCACACCAAUAAUAUUCCCACCCUCGUGUGAGGAGUAAAGUGUUAAUCUAUCUAGUUGACCCGACUUUUAUUUAUUUAUUUUUUUUUCAAAGAAACAGGGAAACGGGAAGAAGAAACAAUCAAAUAAGUGUUGAGAAUCAUCAAGUUGAAUUAGCGUUCGUUAUUGUUGUUGUUAUUAUUAUUGGUUUUCCUGUUUUUGGUUCUUUUAGUGGGCUCCAUCUUUAUUGUACGAGUAGGGAGUAUUCGUCAUGGUAAUCGUCAGUUGAAUUUAGGAAAUAAGAUUUAUUAAGGGCACUGAGUUUCACUGA